UACGUAGGGGGCGAGCGUUGUCCGGAAUCAUUGGGCGUAAAGCGCGUGUAGGCGGCUUUGCAAGUCGGGUGUGAAAUCCCCAGGCUUAACCUGGGAACUGCAUCCGAGACUGCAUUGCUAGAGUAUGGGAGAGGGAAGUGGAAUUUCAGGUGUAGCGGUGAAAUGCGUAGAUAUCUGAAGGAACAUCAGUGGCGAAAGCGACUUCCUGGACCAAUACUGACGCUCAUGUGCGAAAGCGUGGGGAGCAAACAGG
Molecule: ribosomal RNA, 253 nt
Filed under: uncultured bacterium
Lineage: Bacteria
Description: partial 16S ribosomal RNA
Rfam family: Bacterial small subunit ribosomal RNA
Source: RNAcentral